RNAcentral lists this long non-coding RNA (295 nucleotides) under Homo sapiens (human). RNAcentral describes it as "non-protein coding lnc-TRIP10-5:1". The record is from RNAcentral. Lineage: Eukaryota; Metazoa; Chordata; Mammalia; Primates; Hominidae.
CAACAACAAAGAAAAGAUGGGAGAUGAAGGGAAGCAGGUGCAAAGGGCUGGAUUUGAAAUCCUGAGAUGAUAAAGGUCAACACCCAAAGGCUCAAAACCCUUCUCCAAACCCUCAUCUGAGCUCACCCAGCACCUGUGACGGGGGCCCACCUGCAUAGAAAGACACUCAAUUGGAUGUUCAUCACUGCAUUGCGUAUAACACUGUGAAGCAGGCUACGUGUCCAUCAGUAGGAGAGCAGAUAAUAAAAUGGGGUCUAUGCAUAGGCUGAUACCAGCCCAUAUAUCCACCCAGAAG